This 292-nucleotide ribosomal RNA is filed under the name uncultured bacterium. Its description in RNAcentral is "partial 16S ribosomal RNA". It matches the Rfam family "Bacterial small subunit ribosomal RNA", at positions 505 to 796 of the family's 1533-position model. The record is from RNAcentral.
GUGCCAGCAGCCGCGGUAAUACAGAGGGUGCAAGCGUUAAUCGGAAUUACUGGGCGUAAAGGGCGCGUAGGUGGAGAAGUGAGUCAGAUGUGAAAGUCCUGGGCUUAACCUAGGGAUUGCAUCUGAUACUGCUUUUCUGGAGUGAAGUAGAGGGUGGCGGAAUUUCCGGUGUAGCGGUGAAAUGCGUAGAUAUCGGAAAGAACACCAGUGGCGAAGGCGGCCACCUGGACUUUAACUGACACUGAGGCGCGAAAGCGUGGGGAGCGAACAGGAUUAGAUACCCUGGUAGUCC